UACGGAAGAUCCGAGCGUUAUCCGGAAUUACUGGGCGUAAAGAGUUGCGUAGGUGGCAUAGCAAGCGAACAGUGAAAGGUCCCGGCUCAACCGGGGAUACAUUGUUCGAACUUCUAAGCUAGAGCACAGCAGAGGUACCUGGAAUUCCCAGUGUAGGAGUGAAAUCCGUAGAUAUUGGGAGGAACACCGAUGGCGUAGGCAGGGUACUGGGCUGUUGCUGACACUAAGGCACGAAAGCGUGGGGAGCGAACGGG
This 254-nucleotide ribosomal RNA is filed under the name uncultured bacterium. Its description in RNAcentral is "partial 16S ribosomal RNA". It matches the Rfam family "Bacterial small subunit ribosomal RNA", at positions 524 to 776 of the family's 1533-position model. The record is from RNAcentral.